RNAcentral lists this ribosomal RNA (466 nucleotides) under uncultured bacterium. RNAcentral's name for it is "partial 16S ribosomal RNA". It matches the Rfam family "Bacterial small subunit ribosomal RNA", at positions 36 to 507 of the family's 1533-position model. The record is from RNAcentral.
CUCCCUCUUUCUUCUUGCUUAACACAUGCAAGUCGAACGGAAAGGCCCUGCUUUUGUGGGGUGCUCGAGUGGCGAACGGGUGAGUAACACGUGAGUAACCUGCCCUUGACUUUGGGAUAACUUCAGGAAACUGGGGCUAAUACCGGAUAGGAGCUCCUGCUGCAUGGUGGGGGUUGGAAAGUUUCGGCGGUUGGGGAUGGACUCGCGGCUUAUCAGCUUGUUGGUGGGGUAGUGGCUUACCAAGGCUUUGACGGGUAGCCGGCCUGAGAGGGUGACCGGCCACAUUGGGACUGAGAUACGGCCCAGACUCCUACGGGAGGCAGCAGUGGGGAAUAUUGCACAAUGGGCGGAAGCCUGAUGCAGCAACGCCGCGUGCGGGAUGACGGCCUUCGGGUUGUAAACCGCUUUCGCCUGUGACGAAGCGUGAGUGACGGUAAUGGGUAAAGAAGCACCGGCUAACUACGUG